This 331-nucleotide long non-coding RNA is filed under the name Carica papaya (papaya). RNAcentral describes it as "long non-coding RNA (CPAP_LNC006835)". Lineage: Eukaryota; Viridiplantae; Streptophyta; Magnoliopsida; Brassicales; Caricaceae. The record is from RNAcentral.
GGCUGCUAGAUGCUCGAAUGGGCCGAUUGGGUCACGCAACCCCUUCUGGGGUACGGGACCUGAACGCGGGUUGUCUUGGCCGCAUGCCUCGCGUACUUCCUCAUGUGGGUUAGGUUCCUACAUGUGUGGGUGGGUUCUCCUGCACACAUGAUGGUUGCCUACACAUGUGCCAAAGGGAUGUCACAUGGGCAACGCAUGUUAUCCACCAUUCUCUUUUCGUACUUGGCCCAUUUUGACCAUGUGGUCUUUGGGCCAUCUUGGGUUGGGCCAUAAAUGGGCCUUUUUCUUUCCUUGUAACUUCUCAAAGCCCAUAAAGCAUUACUUGGGCUUC